RNAcentral lists this ribosomal RNA (274 nucleotides) under uncultured bacterium. Its description in RNAcentral is "partial 16S ribosomal RNA". It matches the Rfam family "Bacterial small subunit ribosomal RNA", at positions 523 to 796 of the family's 1533-position model. The record is from RNAcentral.
AUACGGAGGGUGCAAGCGUUACUCGGAAUCACUGGGCGUAAAGCGCGCGCAGGCGGCUAUUUAAGUUGGAUGUGAAAGCCUAUGGCUCAACCAUAGAACUGCAUCCAAAACUAUUUAGCUAGAGUGGGGGAGAGGAAGAUGGAAUUAGUUGUGUAGGGGUAAAAUCCGUAGAGAUAACUAGGAAUACCAAAAGCGAAGGCAAUCUUCUGGAACACUACUGACGCUGAGGCGCGAAAGCGUGGGGAGCAAACAGGAUUAGAAACCCUAGUAGUCC